UUUAAUAGAAAAGGGUAGACAUCUUAAGAUCCCUAGAGAUCAGAGAUAUUGCAAAUUCUGUAAUGAGAUUGAGGACGAAAAACACUUCUUUCUCAACUGCCCUAAAUAUAACUUUUAUAGAAACAAAUAUUUUGACUUCAUAGAGAUCAAUUAGGAGUGGAAAGAUACUGCUAAAGAUGACAGUCAUGCUUAAACUUAAAAUAAUACUAAACCCCA
This 216-nucleotide long non-coding RNA is filed under the name Mytilus galloprovincialis (Mediterranean mussel). Lineage: Eukaryota; Metazoa; Mollusca; Bivalvia; Mytilida; Mytilidae. The record is from RNAcentral.